RNAcentral lists this transfer RNA (65 nucleotides) under Ptenopus garrulus (Whistling gecko). RNAcentral's name for it is "tRNA-Val". Lineage: Eukaryota; Metazoa; Chordata; Lepidosauria; Squamata; Gekkonidae. The record is from RNAcentral.
CACGCAGUAGCUUAUUACAAGCACCCAGCUUACACCUGGAAGAAACCGCCCACCGGUCUGCUUGA